This is a long non-coding RNA of Hylaeus anthracinus, 1905 nucleotides long. RefSeq lists it as uncharacterized. The record is from RefSeq and is a predicted model, not a curated record. Lineage: Eukaryota; Metazoa; Arthropoda; Insecta; Hymenoptera; Colletidae. The transcript is spliced from 7 exons.
CGCAACCUAAAGGCAGUACAUAAUACGAAUACAAACUAAGGGUGUGUUGAAUAUAAAUAAUACAGAUGGUCCGAAUAAUCCUUAUACAUUAGUCUAAUCUUAUGUGUGCUAAUUUAAGUUUAUUUGGGCCUCGCCAAUCGCAAUCAAAUUUUGAGGUUUUUUGUUCCUUGAGUUCUGUGCCGCCGUGGUGGUGAUCUUUGUAAAGAGUUCAUCGAGAUGUUGUGCAAACAUUCAAGGCGUUUGCCUUUUCGAGAAUUGCAAGGGUAUGUUUGCCUUUACACCAAAAAUUAACUCGUGGGGAGUAAAACCUGUGGCCUCAUGUACUGAGGUAUUAUAGGAAAAAAUGCAAAGUCUUAUCCAAUCAUUCCAAUCUAUUUUUGUGCAAUAAUGCUUGAGAAAUUUUUCAUGGUUUGGCUGAUGAAAUUCCUUCCUUGGUCAGUAUGAAUUGGACACCCAAAUCUGCAAUUAGUCAGCAAGGGCAUAUGCAACAGUUGCUGUGUCUAUACUACGUAAUGGAAUUGCAUCUGAAUACUUAGUGAGAUUAUCCUGUAGGAUGAGUAAAUACUGAUUUCCUUUACUAGUUACGGGUGGGACAGGAUCGAACAAAUUUAAUUUCUUAUGCCACGCCUGGCCAAUAGAAACGUUCUUGGAUAAGCUGACGAAAUUCAAAGGAGCCUCAGUGGCCUUCAAUUACCGAUUCAUGAUGUUCUUUAAUGAUUUGGGGGCGUCUCAUCUCAAGCGGGAUUAUAAUGUCUUUACUGCACACUGUAAUUACAUAUAGUGGAUCAUUAAAAAUCUUCCUAAGCAGAUCCAAUAUGUUGUUUUGUUUGGAAGAAUUGAACCUAUCCGAGUCUAUUAAUAUACUGAAGGUUUUCGAAUUCAAAGAGUCUGGGAGGACUUUAAGUGAUUUUAACGAAGAUUUGAUAUGAUCAAGGUUAAAUUCGUCUUGGGGUUCGGUCUUAAAGAACAAGAAGAAAAUGGAAUGAUAAAAGGCCGUGUAAUUAUAAGAAUGCUGCUUUAAUAAUGGAAACAAACAUUUAUUAGAGAACGUGUAAGUUACAAAAAGGUUGCAUCAGCAAGUAAAGGAAAAAAAGGUGAAUCCGGGAAGACAGAACUGCAACUUAGAACAAUAAAAGGAACCAUAAAACGUGCAUCGCAGUUAGCACCUCUUAACACCUAUAGUCUCGUAAUGUUAAUAUGCCUAUCAUUAAUUGCAACAUGGAAUAUUUGUCGUUUGGGAAAGCCAUAGCAUUACCAACAUUGGCUUGGUAUUGCUGUAUCUGCUCCAUUGAAAAUCCAAUUUGGCCUAGUAGGCCCUCAGUGCUUUGAGAGGUGUCGCUGUGAUUUAAGGAGGUAAAGUGGGCGAGAUUAUCUUGCUGUACGAUGAGGUGAUCCUUUUUGUGAAAUAUGGUGGGGGAUAAGGGAGGAGAUGCCGUUGAUCUAUUUACGUCGAAGUUAAAUUUCCCGGCGAGGUCACUCCACUGGAUUCCCCUGUGCAGUCUUGGUCGCUAACAUUCAUACUUUCCCCUGCCAACCUCAAUUCCCUUGACCGAGGUGGCCUUCCACCCGGUUCCCUUGACCGGAUGGGAUUUAUCCCUAUUCCAACUUCGAUUCCCUUGAUCGAGGCAGCCUUCCACCCGGUUCCCUUGACCGGAUGGGAUUUCCAUGCACACACGGGGCACCCCUCUCCCCUGAGACAUUGAGCACAGAUUCCCUCUUACAGCCCACGAUUGGGUUCCUGGGGUUCGGAUUAUACACCUGUUAGCCAACGAUGGACUGAGUCGAGGAGACUCUGGGGUACUCAAUUGGGGCGUUCCUUUAUGUAAUUCUCGCGAACUGUUCACUACUGAACACAAAGGCGAUAAGACUAUCAUUUUCGGCGCAUGAUACUUCAUCUAUCCCGUC